UACAGAGGGUGCAAGCGUUGUUCGGAAUUAUUGGGCGUAAAGGGCGUGUAGGCGGCUUGCUAAGUCAUGUGUGAAAUCCCUCGGCUUAACCGAGGAACGACGCAUGAAACUGGCAAGCUAGAGUACCAAAGAGGGGGGUGGAAUUCCCGGUGUAGCGGUGAAAUGCGUAGAUAUCGGGAGGAACGCCAGUGGUGAAGACGACUACCUGGACCAAUACUGACACUGAGGCGCGAGAGCGUGGGGAGCGAACAGG
Molecule: ribosomal RNA, 253 nt
Filed under: uncultured bacterium
Lineage: Bacteria
Description: partial 16S ribosomal RNA
Rfam family: Bacterial small subunit ribosomal RNA
Source: RNAcentral